UGUGGGAGCUGGCUUGCCUGCGAUCCCGGUGGGUCAGGCGAAGCCAAUUUGGCUGAUAAACCGCUAUCGCAGGCAAGCCAGCUCCCACA
Molecule: non-coding RNA, 89 nt
Filed under: Pseudomonas tolaasii NCPPB 2192
Lineage: Bacteria; Pseudomonadati; Pseudomonadota; Gammaproteobacteria; Pseudomonadales; Pseudomonadaceae
Source: RNAcentral